GCUGGUGACCAUGGAGGAGCUGUCAUACCCGUUCCCAUUCCGAACACGGAAGUCAAGGGCUCCAUCGCCGAGGGUAGUGCGUCUCCCGGACGUGCGAGAGUAGGACGUCGCCAGCU
Molecule: ribosomal RNA, 116 nt
Filed under: Kiritimatiellia bacterium
Lineage: Bacteria; Pseudomonadati; Kiritimatiellota; Kiritimatiellia
Source: RNAcentral